AUUGAACGCUGGCGGAAUGCUUUACACAUGCAAGUCGGGCGGCAGCGCGGGGGCAACCCUGGCGGCGAGCGGCGAACGGGUGAGUAACACAUCGGAACGUACCCUGUCGUGGGGGAUAACGAAUCGAAAGAUUCGCUAAUACCGCAUACGACCUGAGGGUGAAAGCGGGGGAUCGCAAGACCUCGCGCGAGAGGAGCGGCCGAUGGCGGAUUAGCUAGUUGGUGGGGUAAAGGCCCACCAAGGCGACGAUCCGUAGCGGGUCUGAGAGGACGGCCCGCCACACUGGGACUGAGACACGGCCCAGACUCCUACGGGAGGCAGCAGUGGGGAAUUUUGGACAAUGGGGGCAACCCUGAUCCAGCCAUUCCGCGUGAGUGAAGAAGGCCUUCAGGUUGUAAAGCUCUUUCAGCAGGAACGAAACGGUGGCCAUUAAUACUGGCUACUAAUGACGGUACCUGAAGAAGAAGCACCGGCUAACUACGUGCCAGCAGCCGCGGUAAU
This 501-nucleotide ribosomal RNA is filed under the name uncultured bacterium. RNAcentral's name for it is "bacterial SSU rRNA". It matches the Rfam family "Bacterial small subunit ribosomal RNA", at positions 29 to 524 of the family's 1533-position model. The record is from RNAcentral.